This 253-nucleotide ribosomal RNA is filed under the name uncultured bacterium. Its description in RNAcentral is "partial 16S ribosomal RNA". It matches the Rfam family "Bacterial small subunit ribosomal RNA", at positions 524 to 776 of the family's 1533-position model. The record is from RNAcentral.
UACGGGGGGGGCAAGCGUUGUUCGGAAUUACUGGGCGUAAAGGGCUCGUAGGCGGCCAACUAAGUCGGAUGUGAAAUCCCCAGGCUUAACCUGGGAACUGCAUCCGAUACUGGAUGGCUUGAAUCCGGGAGAGGGAUGCAGAAUUCCAGGUGUAGCGGUGAAAUGCGUAGAUAUCUGGAGGAACACCGGUGGCGAAGGCGGCAUUCUGGACCGAUAUUGACGCUGAGGAGCGAAAGCCAGGGGAGCAAACGGG